AGUGAACGCUGGCGGUAGGCCUAACACAUGCAAGUCGAACGGCAGCGCAGUAAGAGCUUGCUCUUACGGGUGGCGAGUGGCGGACGGGUGAGGAAUACAUCGGAAUCUACUUUUUCGUGGGGGAUAACGUAGGGAAACUUACGCUAAUACCGCAUACGACCUACGGGUGAAAGCAGGGGAUCUUCGGACCUUGCGCGAUUGAAUGAGCCGAUGUCGGAUUAGCUAGUUGGCGGGGUAAAGGCCCACCAAGGCGACGAUCCGUAGCUGGUCUGAGAGGAUGAUCAGCCACACUGGAACUGAGACACGGUCCAGACUCCUACGGGAGGCAGCAGUGGGGAAUAUUGGACAAUGGGCGCAAGCCUGAUCCAGCCAUACCGCGUGGGUGAAGAAGGCCUUCGGGUUGUAAAGCCCUUUUGUUGGGAAAGAAAAGCAGCAGGUUAAUACCCCGCUGUUCUGACGGUACCCAAAGAAUAAGCACCGGCUAACUUCG
This 490-nucleotide ribosomal RNA is filed under the name uncultured bacterium. RNAcentral's name for it is "partial 16S ribosomal RNA". It matches the Rfam family "Bacterial small subunit ribosomal RNA", at positions 29 to 505 of the family's 1533-position model. The record is from RNAcentral.